CACCCCUGCGAUCUCCACUGCCCUGCGGUCACCGCCGGCCUGCACCCCAGGCCCCGCUCACUUCCUGGAACCCUCGCGCUGACCUCGGAGCCCCCCACUCGCCGCCUCAGGUGUCUCCCUUUUCGGAUUGUGCCCCUGCACGUGGAUCCCCGCUCCGUGCCCCGGGCACCCCUCGCCCUCCUCUCCUGAUUCCCGCCCCUGCUCUCCCCACUGCCCUAGGUCCUCCAUCUGGCAGUCCUUCUUCCCGCUCUCAGUCAACGGACCACCAACCUCGAGUUGGGAUCCCGUGCACCCUGUCCUCCGGAGGGCCACCCUUCUCGCCCCAUAACUCAAUUCUGUACGUUCAGACGCAUCCGGACAGCCCAAGACACUCCGUGUUGCCUGACACAGCAGGAGGGGGCCACACAGUUUUUACAUGACAUGUGUGACAGCGUCUCUUCCCAGUGAAGACUUUGCAGCCGUGUAACCCAAAAGGGCCCGAAAGGAGAUCUGGGAAGGACACACACACGUCUAUACCCCUGGAAUCCCGUGGACCAGGCAGAAAGGGAGAACCUUCCUCUGGUGUAGUCUGACACUUCAGAAAUGACUGCAGCCGGGGAGAAAAACAGGCUGCCUAAAAGAACGCAGAAUAUGAUCCCAUUUUUUGUUUAAAAGAAAAAAAAAGUACAUACACACACCUGGAAAAAGGCUUCACACUUUUUCAAAGAUAAAGAAGUCUCUAAAUAGU
Diceros bicornis minor is the source of this 727-nucleotide long non-coding RNA. RefSeq lists it as uncharacterized. Lineage: Eukaryota; Metazoa; Chordata; Mammalia; Perissodactyla; Rhinocerotidae. The transcript has 2 exons. The record is from RefSeq and is a predicted model, not a curated record.